GGAGUGCUCGUGUGUGCUGACUGCGUCACUGCUGCAGGAGCUGGGAGCUGCCGGCGCUGCCCCGGGGGCUCACCUGUCCAUUCUGGGAGAGGGGGGUCAGCCCCUUGGGCCUGGAGAUGAGUUGGGCUCAGGUCAGGCCCUCCAUACAGGCUGCAGCAACUGGUGAGGGGGACGAUGAGGGUUGGGGAGAUAUGGGGGCGAGGGAGGGGGUGAGAGGGUGAGAGGAUGUGGGUGGGAGAGCACUGCCCCGCUCCUGGAACCGGGCUCACCCUGGCUCCGUCUCCUUGCCCUCUGGGAUCGAAGUAUCUGCCCACACUCCUUUCUCCCGGGGUCCAUGCCGCCGUCCCCUCAUCCCCACACCCUCUUGCCAGCUCCUGUGCGCACGGGAAGCUGUCCUGCUCCGUGGGUGACUGCUCCAAGGCUGGGGUUGGCUUCGGUCCCCGGGGCCCAUGGGGCCCGUUUCCGCUCCUGUGGCGGGCUGGGCACCCGCACCUGCAACUGCCACUGUGCACGCCCCACACCCACUCCCCGUGGCCAGGACUGCCGUGGGCCCCGCCAGGACCUCGAGUACUGCCUCAGCCCGGACUGCCCAGGGGCUGCAGGGUCCACGGUGGAACCAGUGACAGGCCUUCCAGGCGGCUGGGGUCUGUGGUCCCCGUGGUCCCCCUGCUCCAGCAGCUGCACAGACCCCGCUCACCCUGCUUGGGGCAGCCGCAC
Molecule: long non-coding RNA, 717 nt
Filed under: Balaenoptera musculus (blue whale)
Lineage: Eukaryota; Metazoa; Chordata; Mammalia; Artiodactyla; Balaenopteridae
Description: lncRNA (ENSBMSG00010015000.1)
Source: RNAcentral